AGCGCAGCUGCCGUUGGAAGUUUGUCUAUCGAAAAUAAUGGAAAGUUGUGUGUGUGUAUCAAUUAAAGCCAUAGGUGUGGGCUCCACGCAGACCCCAGCCCGUGCCCUCGUAAACGAUGCCAUCAUUGCCAAUUAGGAAGCUGCCCCGAAAGUCACAAAUAGACUCCGUUUGAUGAUAGUUCUGCAUAUUCUGCAAGAUCUCGGCACACUGGAGGAGCCCACUGCACUCGCCCGUGACCGUGUGAUGGAUGACCACAUAGCGAAUGGGACGGAUCUGGUAGUGGAGGCCCUGUGAUGGCUUACCGCCCCACUGACGCUU
Long non-coding RNA from Drosophila serrata, 319 nucleotides. The record is from RefSeq and is a predicted model, not a curated record. Lineage: Eukaryota; Metazoa; Arthropoda; Insecta; Diptera; Drosophilidae.